This 1425-nucleotide ribosomal RNA is filed under the name metagenome. RNAcentral's name for it is "bacterial SSU rRNA". It matches the Rfam family "Archaeal small subunit ribosomal RNA". The record is from RNAcentral.
UCCCGUUGAUCCUGCGGGAGGUUGCUGCUAUUAGGGUUCGAUUUAGCCAUGCAAGUCUUCUCGUAAGAGAGGCAAACUGCUCAGUAACACGUCAAUAAUCUACCCUUAGAUUUAGAAUAACCUUGGGAAACUGAGGCUAAUGAUUAAUAGGGGGAAAAAACUGGAAUGUUUUUCCUCUGAAACGUAAGGUCUAAGGAUGAGUUGGCGGUCGAUUAGGUUGUUGGUGGUGUAAAGGACCACCAAGCCAAAGAUCGGUAGGAGUCUUGAGAGAGAUAGCUCCGAGAAGGGCACUGAGAUACAGGCCCUAGCCCCACGGGGUGCAGCAGGCGCGAAACCUUUACAAUGCACGUAAGUGUGAUAAGGGAACCCUAAGUGCUUUGCUUAUGUAAGGCUUUUACUAAGUUUAAAAUAUUUGGUGAAUAAGUGGUGGGAAAGACUGGUGCCAGCCGCCGCGGUAACACCAGCGCCACGAGUGGGAACCGUUUUUAUUGGGUCUAAAGCGUCCGUAGCCGGUUUGAUAAGUCUCUUGUGAAAUCAUUAAGCUCAACUUAAUGGCGUGCUUGAGAUACUGUUGGACUAGGAACUUGGAAGAGUCAGAAGUAUUUCUGGGGGAGCGGUAAAAUGCUAUAAUCCCAGAAGGACUACCUGUGGCGAAAGCGUCUGACUAGAAUAGAUUCGACGGUGAGGGACGAAAGCUAAGGGAACAAUCCGGAUUAGAUACCCGAGUAGUCUUAGCCAUAAACUCUGCGAGCUAGGCGUUGCAUAUUCUUCGUGAAUAUGCAGUGUCGUAAUGAAGAUGUUAAGCUCGCCACCUGGGAAGUAUGGUCGCAAGACUGAAACUUAAAGGAAUUGGCGGGGGAGCACUACAAGGGGUGCGGCGUGCGGUUUAAUCUAACUCAACGCAGAAAAUCUCACCAGAGGCGACGGCAGAAUGAAGGUCAGUCUAAGGGCUUACCUAACGAGCCGAGAGGUAGUGCAUGGCCGUCGUCAGCUCGUGCCGUAAGGUGUCCUGUUAAGUCAGGCAACGAGCGAGACCUGUAUCUACAAUUGCUAACGAACAGUUAUGUGAUCGAGCACAUUGUAGGGACUGCUCUCGAAAGAGAGAGGAAGGUGCAGGCUACGAUAGGUCUGUAUGCUCCGAAUCCUCUGGGCUACACGCGCGCAACAAUGGCAGUGACAAUGGGAUGCAACUCUGAAAAGAGAAGCUAAUCUUCUAAACACUGUCUUAGUUCAGAUUGUGGGCUGUAACUCGCCCACAUGACGCUGGAAUCCCUAGUAAUCGGAAUUCAAAAAUAUUCCGGUGAAUGUGUCCCUGCUCCUUGCACACACCGCCCGUCAAACCACCCGAGUAGGGUUUAGAUGAGGCCUUAUUUUUAAUAAGUUCGAAUCUAAGCUUUGCGAGGAGGGUUAAGUCGUCACAAGGUA